Molecule: ribosomal RNA, 2919 nt
Filed under: Staphylococcus aureus
Lineage: Bacteria; Bacillati; Bacillota; Bacilli; Caryophanales; Staphylococcaceae
Description: bacterial LSU rRNA
Rfam family: Bacterial large subunit ribosomal RNA
Source: RNAcentral
UUAAGUUAUUAAGGGCGCACGGUGGAUGCCUUGGCACUAGAAGCCGAUGAAGGACGUUACUAACGACGAUAUGCUUUGGGGAGCUGUAAGUAAGCUUUGAUCCAGAGAUUUCCGAAUGGGGAAACCCAGCAUGAGUUAUGUCAUGUUAUCGAUAUGUGAAUACAUAGCAUAUCAGAAGGCACACCCGGAGAACUGAAACAUCUUAGUACCGGAGGAAGAGAAAGAAAAUUCGAUUCCCUUAGUAGCGGCGAGCGAAACGGGAAGAGCCCAAACCAACAAGCUUGCUUGUUGGGGUUGUAGGACACUCUAUACGGAGUUACAAAGGACGACAUUAGACGAAUCAUCUGGAAAGAUGAAUCAAAGAAGGUAAUAAUCCUGUAGUCGAAAAUGUUGUCUCUCUUGAGUGGAUCCUGAGUACGACGGAGCACGUGAAAUUCCGUCGGAAUCUGGGAGGACCAUCUCCUAAGGCUAAAUACUCUCUAGUGACCGAUAGUGAACCAGUACCGUGAGGGAAAGGUGAAAAGCACCCCGGAAGGGGAGUGAAAUAGAACCUGAAACCGUGUGCUUACAAGUAGUCAGAGCCCGUUAAUGGGUGAUGGCGUGCCUUUUGUAGAAUGAACCGGCGAGUUACGAUUUGAUGCAAGGUUAAGCAGUAAAUGUGGAGCCGUAGCGAAAGCGAGUCUGAAUAGGGCGUUUAGUAUUUGGUCGUAGACCCGAAACCAGGUGAUCUACCCUUGGUCAGGUUGAAGUUCAGGUAACACUGAAUGGAGGACCGAACCGACUUACGUUGAAAAGUGAGCGGAUGAACUGAGGGUAGCGGAGAAAUUCCAAUCGAACCUGGAGAUAGCUGGUUCUCUCCGAAAUAGCUUUAGGGCUAGCCUCAAGUGAUGAUUAUUGGAGGUAGAGCACUGUUUGGACGAGGGGCCCCUCUCGGGUUACCGAAUUCAGACAAACUCCGAAUGCCAAUUAAUUUAACUUGGGAGUCAGAACAUGGGUGAUAAGGUCCGUGUUCGAAAGGGAAACAGCCCAGACCACCAGCUAAGGUCCCAAAAUAUAUGUUAAGUGGAAAAGGAUGUGGCGUUGCCCAGACAACUAGGAUGUUGGCUUAGAAGCAGCCAUCAUUUAAAGAGUGCGUAAUAGCUCACUAGUCGAGUGACACUGCGCCGAAAAUGUACCGGGGCUAAACAUAUUACCGAAGCUGUGGAUUGUCCUUUGGACAAUGGUAGGAGAGCGUUCUAAGGGCGUUGAAGCAUGAUCGUAAGGACAUGUGGAGCGCUUAGAAGUGAGAAUGCCGGUGUGAGUAGCGAAAGACGGGUGAGAAUCCCGUCCACCGAUUGACUAAGGUUUCCAGAGGAAGGCUCGUCCGCUCUGGGUUAGUCGGGUCCUAAGCUGAGGCCGACAGGCGUAGGCGAUGGAUAACAGGUUGAUAUUCCUGUACCACCUAUAAUCGUUUUAAUCGAUGGGGGGACGCAGUAGGAUAGGCGAAGCGUGCGAUUGGAUUGCACGUCUAAGCAGUAAGGCUGAGUAUUAGGCAAAUCCGGUACUCGUUAAGGCUGAGCUGUGAUGGGGAGAAGACAUUGUGUCUUCGAGUCGUUGAUUUCACACUGCCGAGAAAAGCCUCUAGAUAGAAAAUAGGUGCCCGUACCGCAAACCGACACAGGUAGUCAAGAUGAGAAUUCUAAGGUGAGCGAGCGAACUCUCGUUAAGGAACUCGGCAAAAUGACCCCGUAACUUCGGGAGAAGGGGUGCUCUUUAGGGUUAACGCCCAGAAGAGCCGCAGUGAAUAGGCCCAAGCGACUGUUUAUCAAAAACACAGGUCUCUGCUAAACCGUAAGGUGAUGUAUAGGGGCUGACGCCUGCCCGGUGCUGGAAGGUUAAGAGGAGUGGUUAGCUUCUGCGAAGCUACGAAUCGAAGCCCCAGUAAACGGCGGCCGUAACUAUAACGGUCCUAAGGUAGCGAAAUUCCUUGUCGGGUAAGUUCCGACCCGCACGAAAGGCGUAACGAUUUGGGCACUGUCUCAACGAGAGACUCGGUGAAAUCAUAGUACCUGUGAAGAUGCAGGUUACCCGCGACAGGACGGAAAGACCCCGUGGAGCUUUACUGUAGCCUGAUAUUGAAAUUCGGCACAGCUUGUACAGGAUAGGUAGGAGCCUUUGAAACGUGAGCGCUAGCUUACGUGGAGGCGCUGGUGGGAUACUACCCUAGCUGUGUUGGCUUUCUAACCCGCACCACUUAUCGUGGUGGGAGACAGUGUCAGGCGGGCAGUUUGACUGGGGCGGUCGCCUCCUAAAAGGUAACGGAGGCGCUCAAAGGUUCCCUCAGAAUGGUUGGAAAUCAUUCAUAGAGUGUAAAGGCAUAAGGGAGCUUGACUGCGAGACCUACAAGUCGAGCAGGGUCGAAAGACGGACUUAGUGAUCCGGUGGUUCCGCAUGGAAGGGCCAUCGCUCAACGGAUAAAAGCUACCCCGGGGAUAACAGGCUUAUCUCCCCCAAGAGUUCACAUCGACGGGGAGGUUUGGCACCUCGAUGUCGGCUCAUCGCAUCCUGGGGCUGUAGUCGGUCCCAAGGGUUGGGCUGUUCGCCCAUUAAAGCGGUACGCGAGCUGGGUUCAGAACGUCGUGAGACAGUUCGGUCCCUAUCCGUCGUGGGCGUAGGAAAUUUGAGAGGAGCUGUCCUUAGUACGAGAGGACCGGGAUGGACAUACCUCUGGUGUACCAGUUGUCGUGCCAACGGCAUAGCUGGGUAGCUAUGUGUGGACGGGAUAAGUGCUGAAAGCAUCUAAGCAUGAAGCCCCCCUCAAGAUGAGAUUUCCCACUUCGGUUAUAAGAUCCCUCAAAGAUGAUGAGGUUAAUAGGUUCGAGGUGGAAGCAUGGUGACAUGUGGAGCUGACGAAUACUAAUCGAUCGAAGACUUAAUCAA